CAGGAACCGCAUGGAUAGAGUAGGGUAUGGGCAAGCUCCAGAAAGUCAGUGUGCAGCUCCCAAAAGAGAGGGAUAUGGGGCAGGCCACAAAAUAGUAACACUCUAGUCCCAUGGCCUGCAAGUGGAAGAGUCUGGAUUUAUUCCCAGAUGAGGAAAUGAUGACCACGAGGGGAAAGUCAGCUGUUAAUGGAGAGCUGGACCACCACGCAAGUCUCCUCAUUCCUUACCCAGUGCCCAGGCCCUUCUUCAUUCUGUCUUUUCUGGAAUGCACUACAAUACAGUGUUGAAUACUGUAUUGAACAUGGUGUUGAAUACUGUAUUGAAUACAGUGUUGAGUGUUGAAUACAGUAUUAUGUUGUACUAAACAGAAUUUUGGUACAAAUUUUUAUUUGUAAUGAUCCAAGCACUUCUCUUUUUAGUGAGUAGGAACAAAUUUUCUAAAUUCUUAACUUUCUCAUAGAAUAUAUCCUACCUCCUGGCUCUACCUAAAAUCCUGCUGGCCUCUG
This 506-nucleotide long non-coding RNA is filed under the name Homo sapiens (human). RNAcentral describes it as "HSALNT0334406". Lineage: Eukaryota; Metazoa; Chordata; Mammalia; Primates; Hominidae. The record is from RNAcentral.